Molecule: ribosomal RNA, 497 nt
Filed under: uncultured bacterium
Lineage: Bacteria
Description: partial 16S ribosomal RNA
Rfam family: Bacterial small subunit ribosomal RNA (bases 15-380)
Source: RNAcentral
GAUGAACGCUGGCGGCGUGCCUAAUACAUGCAAGUCGAGCGAACAGACGAGGAGCUUGCUCCUCUGACGUUAGCGGCGGACGGGUGAGUAACACGUGGAUAACCUACCUAUAAGACUGGGAUAACUUCGGGAAACCGGAGCUAAUACCGGAUAAUAUAUUGAACCGCAUGGUUCAAUAGUGAAAGACGGUUUUGCUGUCACUUAUAGAUGGAUCCGCGCCGCAUUAGCUAGUUGGUAAGGUAACGGCUUACCAAGGCGACGAUGCGUAGCCGACCUGAGAGGGUGAGGGGAGACAGUAGAAAGGAGACACGGAUCAGAGAACGGAUGGAGGAAGAAGGAGGGAAGGGUACGCAAGGUGGGAAAGCAGGAAGGAGCAAUGCAGAGGGAGGAACAAAGGUAUGAGUAACUUAAAACGGUGUGACGAGGGAAAAACAAAUGGCCAAGGAAAGAGGCACGCCGGGACGGGAGGGAAGCAGAGAGCGCAGGCCAGGUAAGGG